Molecule: transfer RNA, 71 nt
Filed under: Phrynosoma platyrhinos (Desert horned lizard)
Lineage: Eukaryota; Metazoa; Chordata; Lepidosauria; Squamata; Phrynosomatidae
Description: tRNA-OTHER
Source: RNAcentral
GCCCUGGUAGCUCAGUGGUUAAAUGUCUGUCCUGCAAUCACAAGGUUGCGAGUUCAAUACUAGCCAGGGCU